Molecule: ribosomal RNA, 484 nt
Filed under: uncultured bacterium
Lineage: Bacteria
Description: partial 16S ribosomal RNA
Rfam family: Bacterial small subunit ribosomal RNA
Source: RNAcentral
AUUGAACGCUGGCGGCAGGCCUAACACAUGCAAGUCGAGCGGAUGAAGGGAGCUUGCUCCUGGAUUCAGCGGCGGACGGGUGAGUAAUGCCUAGGAAUCUGCCUGGUAGUGGGGGAUAACGUCCGGAAACGGGCGCUAAUACCGCAUACGUCCUGAGGGAGAAAGUGGGGGAUCUUCGGACCUCACGCUAUCAGACGAGCCUAGGUCGGAUUAGCUAGUUGGUGGGGUAAAGGCCUACCAAGGCGACGAUCCGUAACUGGUCUGAGAGGAUGAUCAGUCACACGGGAACUGAGACACGGUCCAGACUCCUACGGGAGGCAGCAGUGGGGAAUAUUGGACAAUGGGCGAAAGCCUGAUCCAGCCAUGCCGCGUGUGUGAAGAAGGUCUUCGGAUUGUAAAGCACUUUAAGUUGGGAGGAAGGGCAGUAAGUUAAUACCUUGCUGUUUUGACGUUACCAACAGAAUAAGCACCGGCUAACUUCGUG